UUUUUUGCGUACAUGUUUAUGUACAGUGCUGAUUCUAUUUAAACAUCCCAGGGACGCAACUAUCACUUCCUGUUUAAUCUCUGGAUAAUUUCCAUGAAGAAGCUAUGGUUAGUUAUAUUACUUUCAUUUUAGUACAACCGACAUAUAUAUGUGUGUUUAAGAUAACUCCUGUCACAUCUGUAGCCAGAUUAGCAAAUGAUUCUUACAAUUUUCUAUACAGUUUCCUACUUUUCUGUUCGAAAUAUUUUAGUACGGAAAUUUCGGACAGUGCAGAUUUCGGACAGAACAUAGAUCUAACAAUUGUCAAUAACAAUUGUGUUAAUUGUCAAGCUAUAAAACCACUUUGAUUGGUAUUAUUAGUUAAGUAUGUUCUUUUGUAGACAUUUCAAUGAAGUUGCUACAGUAUCUAGGUGAAAGACAAGUGUUAAUAGUGUGAAAUCAACAUGGCAACAUUAUAAAUAUGUCAUAACCAGAAACUCGAAGUAAGAAAUAAUCAGUUUUAAUAGAGCAGGAAGACUCGUUAUUAAUUCACAAAGGUAUAAAAUGAAUAAUACACAAAAUUAUUAUCCUAAAUAAUUCAUACUAGUUACGACAAUUAUAUUACGGUAUAACAGAUAGUCACAUCAUGAAUAACAUUACUUCAUCGAUUAAGUAACAGUGACCAUUAACAGCUAGAUAACUAAUAUGAAUACUACGAAUCCGCCAGAAAGAAAGACAUAUAAAAGACAAUACAACCUAUAUAAUACAAGACUAUACAAUUAUAUAUGAAGGCAAGCAUUAUACACAGAAAUGAUUAACCCCUGCAUAUACGUUUAGCAGUAUACAUUGAAAGCUUAAACAAAGUCAACAAAUGUACAUGUACAUAAAGCGGAAGACAUUCAUUAACAAAGGACAUGGCAAAAGAAACAAACAAAAUACAAGCAUACAAUACACACAAAUUAGAAAAAAGGGUGGGAGGGAGUUCAAAUUUUUCCUAAAGCGUCAAUCAACAAACGUGACUAACAAAACUGUAACCAAAAUAGCACCAAAAACGACUAUUUAUAAGAAAAGGCGUAUUAAUACAAAUACUAUGGAAACUGUCAAGCGUGAAAUUUUAACCUAACAAGGACCAAUGAGAAAGCCUGUUAUAUAUCCAUAAUUAAAAGAUUUUAUUUAGCAACAAAAUGCUUCAGUUAACCUACAGUACAGUGCUGUAAUGGGAAUGCAAAUGAAACUGCAGCACUGUUGUUUGGUAAAGCAUGUACAUGUAUGCGAAAUGAGCAUCUUUAGAUCCAAUUUGGCGGAUCACAGUGACAUGAAAAGAGGAUUGUAAACAAAGGACAAGUAACUUGUGCAGACAGAUAUAAGGCAGCAUGAAUAGUUAGUACUUGGUGCAUCUGCUGAUCAAUGUGUUUGUAAAAGAGGACUUUAACAAUGAUGAGGCUGUAUACCACCAGGAUUACUGCUGAAUGAUAGACGGUUUACAGCUAAACUUUCCUAUGAUUGGAAUCAAUAUCCAGGGACAGCUCUCCCUUACAGGGGCCAAGUGUUGUAACCUUGUUAUAUGGCCAACAAAGGAUAGUUAAGAAGAAAGCUAUAUAGACUAUUAAACAUUUCAUUAAUUUACCAAUAUCUGUAAGGUCUUUAUAUUGAAUAAGGUACAUUCUGUAUAAUUUAAUACAUUCCAUAAUAACUUUGUUUCUACAUGCACAUGAAUAAAAAUAACACUUAAGUAUGGUCACAAAGGGACAGUCAGUGAUCUACAAUUAUUACCCUGAAUGCAUGUAAGAAGCUUUAUAUGAAUGCUUUUAAUGAUUAAUGAAAACAUAUACAUAGGUUAAGGUCUUUAAGUUGUUUCUGAAUAUAUACUUUGGAUAGUACAUGUAUGUACUGACUGUAUAUUCACUUGUCUUAAGUGUCAAAACUAUAGCUAUUCAUGUAUGUCAAAAUCAAAUAUCUAUAUUUCUUGAAGUGAUAACUUUACUGAAUCAUUCUCUUGAAUAACAUUAUGAAAUGUUUGAUUCAUGUUCAAAACUUGAAAGGAAUACACAGCAAAAUGAUGUUCUUCUCUGUAUUCAAUUGGAUUAAAGUGACUUUACAAAAACAAAGAUUUAUGUGUUACAAUUCAUCUGAAAGUAAAAUAACAUGAGAUAAAUCAAUGUAACAUAUGUGUUUAUAUUGAUAUUUAUUGAUUUAUUGUUACUUGAAUGCAUUAAAAAAUUUUGGGAUGAAUAUUAAAAACACAAAGAAAAUAACACAAAAAGGACAAUAAUUAAAAUAAACAAUUGUAAAGCUGUGAAACUUUCUACAGAAUUCCCUGAAAGUGGCAUUUUAUCUUUAAUGUCCUCAGUUUAUAAUCAUCUUUGUCUUAACUGCUCUUGUCUGAAUAGUACUCUGUGUCUGUUAAAACAUAAUGAUUAUUUUUAUAUUGUUAUGUAGUUUCAAGAUUGUUUUCUAGUAGAUAUGUACAUUAAUUCUCAACAGGUAUCAUAAAGAAUUAAUAUGAAUUAGAAAAAUUUGUAGCAUGUCAUUUCAAUGUCAUAAUUUACUGUCUUAUAUUUAUUUAUUGUCAUACUGGAAUAAUAAUAAAUGAC
Molecule: long non-coding RNA, 2573 nt
Organism: Ruditapes philippinarum (Manila clam)
Lineage: Eukaryota; Metazoa; Mollusca; Bivalvia; Venerida; Veneridae
Exons: 3
Source: RefSeq, a predicted model, not a curated record